RNAcentral lists this long non-coding RNA (5547 nucleotides) under Homo sapiens (human). Its description in RNAcentral is "HSALNT0336123". The record is from RNAcentral. Lineage: Eukaryota; Metazoa; Chordata; Mammalia; Primates; Hominidae.
UAACCUGUUUUCAUCUUACAAAAGUAUACACAUCAAUAGUUAAUACUGUAUUUUUUCUCUCUUUGUGUAGGCAGCUGUCCCCAAAAAUGAUAGAGCUUUAUAACUGCAGAUGAAUAACCAUCUCUUCCUGACUUGCCUCUUCUUCAUCUCGACAUUCCUGUAACUGCCUCAUCUUUUCCAUGAGGGCUUCAACCUCAAAGAAAGAAUCACUUACCUGAAGAAAAAAUACAAUUAAUGUUACAUGUGGCAGACAUAGAAUAUAUAUGAAUUAUCUUUUAAGUCUGUCUCAUAAGAAUUUAUAUCUUUUUUUUUUUUUUUUUUUUUUGAGACAGAGUCUUGCUCUGUUGCCCAGGCUGCAGUGCAGUGGCGCGAUCUCGGCUCACUGCAAGGUCCACCUCCCAGGUUCACGCCAUUCUCCUGCCUCGGCCUCCCGAGUAGCUGGGACUACAGGUGCCUGCCACCAUGCCCGGCUAAUUUUUUGUGUUUUUUAGUAGAGACGGGGUUUCACCGUGUUAGCCAGGAAUGGUCUCGAUCUCCUGACCUUGUGAUCUGUCCACCUCGGCCUUCCAAAGUGCUGGGAUUACAGGCGUGAGCCACUGCACCUGGCCAGAAUUUAUAUCUUAGUAGAAUAUAGGGAAAAUAUUCCUAUAAUUUUAAUGUACAUGAAUGAAUAAAAAACUACUUUGGCCUAUUAGGAAUACAGACAUGCAGAUUUUAAAAUAUAAGGAAAAAAAUGAUUUUAAGAACACAUUCUAAUGCUUUUACCUUAUAAAAUUAGCAAUAAUGUCAUUACCAUUUAUGCUGUUUUAAACUACUUGUCAAUUUAAAGCAGAACUGCGUAAGAUAACUUCUACUUGCUUAAUCUUUAAAUAAAUAAGAUACACAAAGUAUAAGUGAUUUUGCAUCAACUGUGUACACUGGGCAUACAUAUUGUCAAUGUGUCUAUCAUCUUUAAUAAUUAGCUUUAUUUCUACAAUUUACCAAUUAAACAUGAAAGAUGUCUACAUGGCUGGAGUUGGCCACCUGACCUCUGCAAAUGGAUCUGGCAGCUGUCACUUGCUGGGAUGACUAGAGCAGUGUCACACAUAGAGUAAUGGGGCUGACAAAGGACUGGCCAAGUGGUUUUGCACUAGUCAAACUGGUUAUACUUCUAUACCCUGCUGCAUUCUUGCUACAAAAGCUAGAUCAAAUCUAUGCAAUUUAUACCUUUCUUAUAAAAUGAAUAUAUUAAGAAGUCUGGGUUGGGCUAGUGGCUCAUGCCUGUAAUCCCAGCAUUUUGGGAGACCAAGGCAGGAGAAUCACUUGAGCCCAGGAGGAGUUCAAGGCUGCAGUGAGCUGUGAUUGUGCCACUGUAUUCCAGCCUGGACAACAGAGAGAGACUUUGUCUCAAAAAGAGAAAAAAAAGUCUUAAUCUCAAAUCUCAAUGUAUACAUACAAAAUUAAUGUUUCCCCCCUUAUAAAUUUAUUUUGCCAGGAAUGCUUUUAAGACCUCUAUCUUCCAUUCUUCCUGGCUUCCACCCAUUGAUCCUUCAGGUAGCAGCUUACAUCCUUGUAAACACUGUCAUUUACCCCACAAGCUCCAAUUAUUCUAACACAACCCUCUCCUCUUUCCUUCAGAGGACCAAUCAUAAUUUAUAAUUGUUACUCGCAUGAUAUUGAUUUAAUGCAGGCUCCCUUCCCAGACCAAACCUUCAUAAAGGUAGGAAAUCUGUUUGGUUUACUUGUAUAUAUCCCAAGCCUAGCAUAGUACCUGGUACAUAGUAGAUAUUCAAGAAAUACUUGCUGGAGAAUGACUCUCAGGAUAAUUCUAUAUUAAGAGACAAUCUAUAUCACUUGUGCUUUACAUUUUCUUUUGAUCCAAACAGUUAUACUGAAAUGCCCAGUAUUAAGCCCUUUCUCUAAGACUUUCAUGAUGGGAAGUGUUUCUAUGACGAUACUGAAGAUUCUUGUGGUGCAUGCAUGCAUUUUCCCCAGUUAUUCCUGACAUAGAGUCAGUAACCAAAUAAAAAAUAGCUGAAAAGGAUUAGGUUUCAUGACAGGAUGACUCAAAGUUUAAAAAAGAUCUCUGUCAACUCACAUUAUCUGUCACUAAUUUAUUUUGUUUACCUAUUCUCCUCUUAAAGAGCCCAAAUUUUAAGUAUUCUUAGGAAAGGUAAUUCUUGAUAAAUUAUAUUGAAAUAAGAGGGAAAGGAAACAAAGUAGGUUUCUUUGUUCCUUCACUGAUCUGCUAAAGUUGGGAUUAAAAAAAAAAUGGCAUUUCAUUUUAAUAUUAAAAUGUUAAAAUUGUGUAAGAAAACUCUUUUUUCUUUCCCUUUAUAAAUUACCCAGUCUUGGGUAUGUCUUUAUUAGCAGCAUGAGAACAGAAUAAUACACCAACACUUAGAAGCAACCAAUGUGUUCUUCAGUAGCUACUGGAAUAAAGAAAUGUUGCUACAUCCAGAAAAUGAAAAAUUAUUCAGUGCUAAAAAGAAAUUAGGUAUCAAGCCAUGAACAGACAUGGAAGAAAUUUAAAUGUAUAUUACUAAGUGAAAGAAGCCAAUCUGAAAAGGCUACGUACUGUAUGAUUCCAACUAUAUAACAUUCUGGAAAAGACAACUAUGGAGAGAGUAAAGAAAUGAAUAAGUAGUUUCCAGGGUUGGGAGGGAGGGAAAAUUCUUGUUUGUUACCAUUUGUAUCUGAAGAGCUGAGUCAGAUACUGGAUAUGUACCUAAAGAACAAGCCAUAUCAGCUCACUGUCAAAGUGUCAUCAGGGUAGGCCAUAAACCUUCUAAAAGUAUCCAACUUACCUGGGAAUAGGAAGCUUAUUAGAGAAAUAAAAAUUAUCUUCUUUCACUAUUCAUUCUUUUAAUAGAAGGAGAACUAGAAACAAUCAAGUACUUUUUUCUUUAGCCUUGUACUAAAUUAUUGGUAGCAAGGAGAAGAAUCCAUCUCCUAGCAUUCUAGCAACUGAAUACUCUCUUGGAUCCUCUUCUGACUGCCAAGCUUUGAAAAAUAAUCAGUGGCCAUAUGCAGGCCUAUAACAUGAAUCUAGGCAGCUCAAAGGAGGGUGAAACUGAUGGUCUUUGGCAGUCCUAUGAUCAACCUUGGGAAAAUUAUUCUUUCUUGUGCUAAUUUCACCAUAUGUAAAUGCUACCUCUUAUUUAGCACCUGACAAAUGCUAAGUGCUGUACUUGGCAUUUUACUUCUUUAGAGACAUUUCAUUUAAACCUCACAAUAACUUUGUGUUUUACUUUUAUUUAGAUACAAAAGAACUGAGAUUCAGUAACUUGCCCGAAGUCAAAUAUAUAAAUUAAAGGCAAUUCAACCUGUCAAAUCUAUUUCAAAGGGAUAAUAUAACUCAGAAAAUGCAUGUAAAGCAUUCAGAUGGCUGUGGUACUGCUUCUAAAAUUUAUUUUUGAAGCAUAAAAUAAACCCUUGCUUUUUCACUACAACAAAAGAAUGCAGAAGGAGAUUUUGAUUCAUCAUAUACAGGAAUUAAAAUUUGCUUAUAGAAAACUGAACUUGCUCUGUUUCAAAGGAGUAACAAAACUAAGAAUAUAUAAAAGCCAGGAACAGAAGGAAUAGAGGUGAAAGCAUUUUAACACAUUUACAUUCACCUGAUAUCACCUUCUAUAUUGGUGCAAAGUUAAACAUGAAAAAGAAUUCUGAAGAGAGAAAUUUCUAGAUCAAAGUUGAUUAAAUCUUCUGAAAUAUAAAAAAUUAAGAAGCCAGACUGUUUAUUUUGUGCAAAAGAGAAGAAUGUGAUUGGCACAAAAAGUCUCCACCACCAGGCCACACUAUUUUCAGCCUUCCCUCAUGUCACUGCAGUAGCCAAUCAAUAUUAUUUGGUCCUGACGGGACACAUGCUGUUGGCUCCUGAUCCUAAAAUUAUCUAAAUGUAAACUCCUACAGGGUCUUAGAGUUUUGUACAUCACUUUUGUAAAAUGUUGUAUAUCACCUAGACUAGUGAUGAGCAUGUGAGGCAGUCAAUAAAACCCUACUGAAUGAAUAGAUAUAGGGGCCCAAUAUCUCCACAGUCUUAACAGGGUGGGUUUUUCUAAGAAGCCAACUGAAGAAAUAAUAUAACAGCAAUUAUUGUGAUUAGUUUUAUGACAAUCUCAUGACAAAUAAUACUUACAGAAACAUUUUCUGCUGAGUUGACCGGCAUCUCAUCCACACUGUGAUUGCCAUUUGUAAUGUCACAGAUGCAGUAGUUGCUAACAGAAGGAGGUCUGAAUGUGUGGCCACCAUCACAAUGAAUUUCUGGACUGAUUCCACAGCCGAAUGUGAAUGAGGCAAGAGAAUGAUAGUGUGUGAGUAAAACUACUGCAUGUACCAAUUCCGCAAGGGACCAGCUGUGCUCUUCAGCUUUUAAAAGUCCCUUAGGGGGAAAAAAAAAAAGAAUAUAUUUUUGUACUGGGGUGUGGUAAAAGUAUACAGUUCAUUUUAGUAUUUAAUUUAUUGAAAACAUGAGUCAUCAUACAAAGCCUAGCAUAAAAUUAUCAUUUGAAACAUGUAGAACCCAGAAUUUGCUAAUUUUUAUGAAUAUGCAUUCACAAAUAGAACUUAACAUAAUCUGUUAAGACAUUCACUAUUAUUUUGAUUUUCUGAAAUAUUGACUUAAAAUGUAAGAGAAUGCAUUUUGCUUAAAAGUGGCUGCUGUAUUUCAGAUGCUGGAUUAUGAAUGAAUUACUGUGUUGUUAGUUCAAAAUCUCAAAGCAAAUGUAAUAAAUUUGUGUUUAAAAGUAGAAGCUGCUGUGUGAAACGCCUGUGCUUUGUUUAUUAUAAGGCCUCCUCAAGGAAUUUUUAAGAUAGUGGCUUGAACAACUUGAUUAAAUAUUCCUAAAUCAUCAAAAAGUUAUAUAUAACUUCUAUAAUUCUUCUAUUCAAUUCUGUGUCACUUCUGCUUCAUUAUCUAUUUUGUAAUCUUGUAUAAUUUUUCCUUACUUGACAAUAUAUAAUAGGCAUUGUAUUAAUAUAUUCAAAUCUUGUAUCUUCUUGAUAAUAUCUUUAAUUAUCUAAUAGUAUCUAUUCUAUGAAAUAGAUAAGACCAAAAGAUGCAUCUCUAAGAAUUUAUAGUGCAUGGUAGACAAUUUUAGAGAACAUCAAUCUACUUUUACUCUAUUAUCUCUAUUAAUAAAUAGAACCAGAACUAGCUUAACAUGGCAUUUAAAACGUAACAUAAAGAUGCAUAACAAUGAGAUGCCACUUCACACUUAUCAGAAUGGCUGAAAUCCAAAACACUGACACCAAUGCUGGCCAAGAUGUGGGACAACAGGAAUGCUGCUUCAUUGCUGGUGGGAAUGCAAACUGAUACUGCCCUUUGGAAGAGUUUUACAGUUUCUUACAAAGGUAAACGUAGGCUUACCGUAUUAUCCACAAAUCGCACACCUAAUUAUUUAUCCAAAUGAGGUGAAAACUUUUGUCGACAAAAAACAAGAAACAAAAACCUAUACAUGAAUGUUUACAGCAGCUUUAUCCGUAAUUGCCCCAAACUGGCAGUAACCAAGAUGUCCUUCAAUAGGUGAAUGGAUAAACAAACUAUGGCAUAACUAUACAAUAGAGAAU